RNAcentral lists this ribosomal RNA (253 nucleotides) under uncultured bacterium. RNAcentral describes it as "partial 16S ribosomal RNA". It matches the Rfam family "Bacterial small subunit ribosomal RNA", at positions 1239 to 1500 of the family's 1533-position model. The record is from RNAcentral.
ACAGCGGGAAGCCAUAUGGCGACAUAGAGCGGAACCCGAAAACCUGUCUCAGUUCGGAUUGGAGUCUGCAACUCGACUCCAUGAAGCUGGAUUCGCUAGUAAUCGCGCAUCAGCCACGGCGCGGUGAAUACGUUCCCGGGCCUUGUACACACCGCCCGUCAAGCCAUGGAAGCCGGGGGUACCUGAAGUGCGUGACCGCAAGGAGCGUCCUAGGGUAAAACCGGUGACUGGGGCUAAGUCGUAACAAGGUAAC